UACAGAGGGUGCAAGCGUUGUUCGGAAUCAUUGGGCGUAAAGGGCGUGUAGGCGGUCUGUUAAGUCAUGUGUGAAAUCCCUCGGCUUAACCGGGGAACUGCGUCUGAUAUUGGAUGGCUAGAGUUUGGGAGAGGGAUGCGGAAUUCCAGGUGUAGCGGUGAAAUGCGUAGAUAUCUGGAGGAACACCGGUGGCGAAGGCGGCAUCCUGGACCAACACUGACGCUGAGGAGCGAAAGCCAGGGGAGCAAACGGG
RNAcentral lists this ribosomal RNA (253 nucleotides) under uncultured bacterium. RNAcentral's name for it is "partial 16S ribosomal RNA". It matches the Rfam family "Bacterial small subunit ribosomal RNA", at positions 524 to 776 of the family's 1533-position model. The record is from RNAcentral.